This is a non-coding RNA of Saimiri boliviensis boliviensis (Bolivian squirrel monkey), 683 nucleotides long. The record is from RefSeq and is a predicted model, not a curated record. NCBI's taxonomy places the organism in Eukaryota, Metazoa, Chordata, Mammalia, Primates, Cebidae.
AUGGCAUCUGUCCCACAGACUCAGAACUGUGCUGCAUACUAUCCUCCUAGCCAAAUUGCGCAACUAAGACCAAGUCCUCGCUGGACUGCUCAGGGCACCAGACCUCAUCCAUUCCAAAAUAUGCCUGGUGCUACCCGCCCAGCUGCUCCUAGACCACCGUUUAGUACUAUGAGACCAGCUUCUUCACAGGUUCCACGAGUCAUGUCAACACAGCGUGUUGCUAGCACAUCAACACAGACAGUGUUGGGUCCAUGUCCUGCAGCUACAGCUGCUGAAGCUACUCCUGCUGUCCGCCCCGUUCCACAGUAUAAAUACGCUGUGGGAGUCGCAAUCCUCAGCAACAUCUUCAUGCACAGCCACAAGUUACAGUGCCACAGCCUGCUGUUCAUGUCCAAGGUCAGGAAGCUUUGACUGCUUCCAUGUUGGCAUCUGCCCCUCCUCAAGAGCAAAAGCAAAUGUUGGGUGAACGACCGUUUCGUCUUAUUCAAGCCAUGCACCCUACUCUUGCUGGUAAAUCCCUGGCAUGUUGUUGGAGACUGAUAAUUCAGAACUUCUUCAUGUGCUUGAGUCUCCAGAGUCUCUGUUCUAAGGCUGAUGAAGCUAUAGCUGUACCACAGGCCCACCAAGCUAAAGAGGCUGCCCAGAAAGCUGUUAACAGUGCCACCUGUGUUCCAGCUGUGUAA